GGAAGUUUGCUAUAUUUGACAGCUUCUAGACCAGAUUUAAUGUACCCUGCUAGAUUACUAUCUAGGUAUAUGCAUUCACCAAGUCAAAUUCACUUAGCUGCUGCUAAAAGAAUAUUGAGAUACCUUGGAGAUUCUGCAAACUAUGGUGUUUGGUAUUUAAAGGGAAAGGAAGUUAAGCUUGAAGGUUUUGUGGACAGUGACUGGGCAAG
RNAcentral lists this unclassified non-coding RNA (209 nucleotides) under Hevea brasiliensis (rubber tree). The record is from RNAcentral. Lineage: Eukaryota; Viridiplantae; Streptophyta; Magnoliopsida; Malpighiales; Euphorbiaceae.